UGCAAUUCCUAUCAAAGCGUGGAGGUGCUAACCUGAAGUCUACUAAUGGUCUGGAACAGUAAUUCACACAUCUUUUUGAUUUAAAGCCUUUCGGGGGACUACACUUUUAACGAUAUCUUUCUGCCUCUCAUGUCAAGUGCCUUUUUUGCUAGUGGUCACACUCUGAAGGCCUAAAAGCUCCGAGAUCAAAAGAAGAGAAUCACAUUAACUUCUCCCCACUUUGGUGGCAUUGAAUAUAUAACAACAGUUUGCUUCCAAAAGAGAAAGCUGGAAGUCAUUGGAACCUGAGCUGGAUAGGUGGUAGAUCGACGGUGGAGGAAGGUGGAGUCAUCAACAGCUGCAAAUAAAGAACUGGAAAACCUAUAAGACGUGACCUGAACGAAGAACCUCUGUAUCUCUGUGUGAACAGUUUUUAGCCCAAGGAACUGCAUCUGAAUGAAGUAUACUGUCGCCAGGUUCCCAAGGUUCAGAGACAGCUGAUCAAAAGAUUGGUAAGACCUUGUUCACAGGGACUACGCUUUGCUGUGUGGAGUCAAAUUUGCCAAGAUUUUCUGCAACGCCAAUACAGUUGUAUCUAACUUCAAUCUCUGAGAGAGAAACCAGGAAGAAAUUUCACUCCCUCAAGUUUUUACUGUUACAGGAGAGAUCAGCUGAUGUGCUUCUGUUUCAUAGUCAACCCUGGGUGAAGGAAAGGAGUUCCACUUUCAGAGAAGAAAGGAUACAGGCUAAAUCAACUCCUGGUGAAAAAUUCUUCCUUCUUGGGAAAUUAUAUUUGCAAAGCU
Molecule: non-coding RNA, 782 nt
Organism: Struthio camelus australis
Lineage: Eukaryota; Metazoa; Chordata; Aves; Struthioniformes; Struthionidae
Source: RefSeq, a predicted model, not a curated record